RNAcentral lists this long non-coding RNA (1194 nucleotides) under Pogona vitticeps (central bearded dragon). Its description in RNAcentral is "lncRNA (ENSPVIG00000021792.1)". Lineage: Eukaryota; Metazoa; Chordata; Lepidosauria; Squamata; Agamidae. The record is from RNAcentral.
AACUAUUUAGAUUAGCUUUUGGCUGUUUCUUGUUAAUUAUUUCUUAAUUCUUUAAUUAGAUUGGGACACAGUGUGGAGUAGUGAACAGAGUGAUGGGCUAGGGCUCAAGGAGACCGAGGUUCAAAUCCUUGUCUGGCCAUGGAAACUCAUGGGCGGGGAUGGAACUGGUAACAACCACUCUGCAAAUAUUCAGCAGCAAAAUUAGAGACAGAAGUGUGGGUGUGUGAGAAAUCAUGGGAUGUGGGUCCUUCUGUAACAGUAGCAAAACCAUGUGUGUCUGUGUACACAUGUGCACAUACAUAUGCACGGGAGCAUGAGUGGUGCAAACAAGGUGGACUUCCUGCACUACCUUCUGAGCAAAUAUUAUACAUACAACAGACAUACAGACAUUCAUGCUGCGCCAAUAAGUCCUGGCACCAGUUAGGAGUUGGGGGAACCUGGGUGUCCACACAUUAAAGCCACCACAGACAAUAAAGUCAGACUUUUUUGUCCUGCAGUGCCACCCAUUAUGAUAUUUGCCUCCUCAUCUGGAGACGCAGAGAAACCUAGCAAUUCCCUGAGAUAUAAGUCAAUGCCCUGAGACGUUGGCAACCCUGUCUUACAUAUGUCCCAUUCCUAGGAAUCUAAAAUUUGAAAAAGGAAGGAAGGAAGGAAGGAAAAGAAAAGAAAAGAAAAGAAAGAAAGAAAGAAAGAGAGAAAGAAAGAAAGAAAGAAAGAGAGAAAGAAAGAAAGAAAGAAAGAGAGAAAGAAAGAAAGAAAGAAAGAGAGAAAGAAAGAAAGAAAGAAAGAGAGAAAGAAAGAAAGAAAGAAAGAGAGAAAGAAAGAAAGAAAGAAAGAGAGAAAGAAAGAAAGAAAGAAAGAAAGGGCUCCCAUUCAUCCCCUGGAAUCAUGUCAUCCAAUCAACUAAAUUCAUAAACAAAACUGAACAGAAAGGAUACAGGAUCCAUCAAGUAAGAUGACAUUCUAAAGUUAUCAUGAGAUGAUGUACAUGCUGCUAACAAAUUUACUCAUAAGCACAAAGAACCAACUGGAUUAUUGGACUUCCAGCUGUCCAUGCCCAUAUCUGUGUAACUUCCAUGCAGGUAAAAAUUGUUCAUUGGUACUGCCAUUUCUGAACAUAAGAGAGGCUCCCUGCUGAAGAAUGGAUAGUUUAGAUAAAAUAAAUCAAUUUCAGUCUGAAUGUGGUUUACUCGA